This 243-nucleotide ribosomal RNA is filed under the name uncultured bacterium. RNAcentral's name for it is "partial 16S ribosomal RNA". It matches the Rfam family "Bacterial small subunit ribosomal RNA", at positions 92 to 334 of the family's 1533-position model. The record is from RNAcentral.
CGACCGGCGCACGGGUGAGUAACGCGUAUGCAACUUACCUAUCAGGAGGGGAUAACCCGGCGAAAGUCGGACUAAUACCGCAUAAAGCAGGGAUCCCGCAUGGGAAUAUUUGCUAAAGAUUCAUCGCUGAUAGAUAGGCAUGCGUUCCAUUAGGCAGUUGGCGGGGUAACGGCCCACCAAACCGACGAUGGAUAGGGGUUCUGAGAGGAAGGUCCCCCACAUUGGAACUGAGACACGGUCCAA